UUACAUACACAAGCUUAUUCCAAGUGGUUUGACCUAAAAGUCAAUAUUUUGAAGUCAAAGUUCCAAGGAGCACAACUCCAUAUAUUCUCAACAUUUUUGAAUGCUUCUUUUUUCAUAUGACUCUUAUUAAAAUCCUCUACAACUUCCAUUUAUAUGAAAAGAGCCAACUAUGCUUGGAGGAUCAUUAAAACUUUGGAGACAGUAUAUGUCAUUUGUGGAGUUAGUGAAAU
This 230-nucleotide long non-coding RNA is filed under the name Lathyrus oleraceus (garden pea). Its description in RNAcentral is "Pisum sativum (pea) long non-coding RNA (PSAT_LNC016058)". Lineage: Eukaryota; Viridiplantae; Streptophyta; Magnoliopsida; Fabales; Fabaceae. The record is from RNAcentral.